UUCUCUCAGCCAUGAGGGAAUUUAUUUUUCCCCGGUGAUUCUUUUUAUGAGAAUAUUUUUCACUCCAUUGGCGUUUUCCUGUGAGGCAAGUUGUGUUCACUAUUCCGCUGUUGCACGCCUCUGUUAUUCUUGUGUGAUACGUCUCUUUGCUAUUUUCAUCUGAGAAGUUCUAUUGAAAACUGCAUUUGAAGAUGUUCUACUUUACUUCAUGACUGUGUGCUUAUGUUGAUUUGAAGAAAGG
This 241-nucleotide long non-coding RNA is filed under the name Trifolium pratense (red clover). Its description in RNAcentral is "long non-coding RNA (TPRA_LNC002200)". The record is from RNAcentral. Lineage: Eukaryota; Viridiplantae; Streptophyta; Magnoliopsida; Fabales; Fabaceae.